GGGUCAGUAGGUUGGUCGUGCCACCGGUACGUACUGGUCUCACUGAUUCCUCCUUCCUGAAGAACCGUAAUGCCAUUAAUUUGGUGUUGCGGGGAAACAGGACUGUUACUUUGAAAAAAUUAGAGUGUUUAAAGCAAGCUAACGCUUGAAUACAUUAGCAUGGAAUAAUGGAAUAGGACGAUCGAUCCUAUUUUGUUGGUUCCUAGGAUUGACGUA
RNAcentral lists this ribosomal RNA (216 nucleotides) under Glomeromycotina sp. Its description in RNAcentral is "partial small subunit ribosomal RNA". The stretch from base 40 to 216 matches the Rfam family "Eukaryotic small subunit ribosomal RNA", at positions 686 to 864 of the family's 1831-position model. Lineage: Eukaryota; Fungi; Glomeromycota. The record is from RNAcentral.